UGCCCAAGAGAUCGGGAUAACACCUGGAAACAGAUGCUAAUACCGGAUAACAACAGAUGAUGCCUAUCAACUGUUUAAAAGAUGGUUCUGCUAUCACUCUUGGAUGGACCUGCGGUGCAUUAGCUAGUUGGUAGGGUAACGGCCUGCCAAGGCGAUGAUGCAUAGCCGAGUUGAGAGACUGAUCGGCCACAUUGGGACUGAGACACGGCCCAAACUCCUACGGAGGCAGCAGCC
This 234-nucleotide ribosomal RNA is filed under the name uncultured Lactobacillus sp. RNAcentral's name for it is "partial 16S ribosomal RNA". It matches the Rfam family "Bacterial small subunit ribosomal RNA", at positions 127 to 355 of the family's 1533-position model. Lineage: Bacteria; Bacillati; Bacillota; Bacilli; Lactobacillales; Lactobacillaceae. The record is from RNAcentral.